Molecule: ribosomal RNA, 365 nt
Filed under: uncultured organism
Description: bacterial SSU rRNA
Rfam family: Bacterial small subunit ribosomal RNA
Source: RNAcentral
CGGAGGAUCCAAGCGUUAUCCGGAAUCAUUGGGUUUAAAGGGUCCGUAGGCGGUUUUAUAAGUCAGUGGUGAAAUCUGGUCGCUCAACGAUCAAACGGCCAUUGAUACUGUAGAACUUGAAUUACUUGGAAGUAACUAGAAUAUGUAGUGUAGCGGUGAAAUGCUUAGAGAUUACAUGGAAUACCAAUUGCGAAGGCAGGUUACUACAAGUGGAUUGGCGCUGAUGGACGAAAGCGUGGGGAGCGAACAGGAUUAGAUACCCUGGUAGUCCACGCCGUAAACGAUGGAUACUAGCUGUUCGGAGCAAUCUGAGUGGCUAAGCGAAAGUGAUAAGUAUCCCACCUGGGGAUACGAACGCAAGUUUG